AUGAGAAGGCUGUGAUUUACCUGUGGUGGGCGUUGGGGGGGGGGGGGUGGCUCCAGGAAGAGUGACUGGCACCGUCCCAGAAGCUUUACCCCCUCAGCCUAGAACUUGCCCUGCCUCCUCUCAGCUCAGGACACUUGAUGCUCAGCGCAGGCUGGUGGAGGACUGAGAUAGCACGAACAAUAACAAGGGUGGGCCAGAGUGAGCCUCUCUGCAUCGUGACCCUAUUCAGUUGUCCACGACUCAGAUCAGCACCCAGGGCUCCAACUCAUUAGAGACUUAGUUGAACUUCUGGUUAUAGACAUAAGGCAGCGCAUAGUGAAAAAGAGCCCUAGCCUAAGAAAGUUAGAAAUCUUGGGCCCAGUGUCCGCUGUCAGUCUGUGUGACAGAGCAAAGUCUGUCAGCGUCUCUAAUUUCCUGAUUUGUAGCAUUGGGGAGUCGAGGUGUCUACUUUGAGAUUUAUGUUCAAUAAUAAAUUAUGACCUAGGCAAAUAGCAGAGCAAGGCUGUGCCUUGCCGAUGUCUUGCUAACUGGCUCAUUUUUCCUUAAUUUACCCACCCAGUGUGAUACCAAGUUUAGGGGACGAUUAGAGUGUCGUAUAAAACUCUCCCUUGGAGAAUUUGUGCUUCCUAACCUUUCUGAACUGUUCUUAAUUGGCCUCAAGCUUUUCGUCUGAGAGACUUCUGUCUGUCUUUCCUACUGACUACUUUUGCCCUGCUACCUCUUAUGUUUCAGAAUUAAAGGAGGACUAGUAAUGUAGAAAUAUCCACAACCUGUUCCUCUCCCUGACCUUGCCCUGCCAUUUGCCUAGAGCUGUGGUAUAAAAUUUUUUUCAAAGGCUGAAAUACAAAUAGGAAAAACAUUGUGAAAAAUGCGAAGCACUGAAGUGAUAAAAGCAAUAGCUUGGAGAUGUAAAUAACCUGCUCUCAUCCUUGUUGUGUGUCAUCAGUGUUAGUUAAUUAUUAUAUAUUAACAUAUUUCUAAUACAAGUUGCAUUGAAAAAUGAAACAGUGAUAGGGCAAACCUUUUGAAUUUCAAACACAUUUAUAUUAACAACCUCUGUCUUAGAAAAGAAACACGGAGAACAAGUUUCAAGGCGUUUUUGUACAGUAAAGCCACCUGUCAGCCCAUUAGACUCAUUAAAGUGCUUUGACACUCCUCUCCCCCUUUCUGACUUUGAUUGUGCAAACAUGGUGUAUGACCCGCAAGGAUUAUUCAGAUUCUACUUAAUGAUGACCCUCUUACAACUUGCAUGCCUCAGAUGAAAAUUCUAUGGCCCUGAUGUUUUCCUCUUGAGAACGCAUUUGCUGUAAUAAAAGACCGUGACUGCGUGAGCGCCGUAGACCUUUGUGGAGUCCGGGUAAAUCGAAAGAGUUUGCUUGCUCCAGGAACACACAGUUCUACGUGUCAAAUGAAGCUGAAGUAUUUGUACGGGGCUGCAACUGGUGUUUUGUUGGAUUACACUUACGUGUGGCCUGAUCUUCCAAUAAUGUUGAAAAUGGCCUUUAAAAAAUAAACUUGGAGUGGAUAUGAUCUUCAGAGAAACAUUUCCUGUAUUAAUUAAACUUUCAUUUCUCACUGUGAAUGCUUUGAUCUCAUAAUACUUUUAAAACGUCCCGAGGGCUUAUUUUCAAAGCUUUCGUACAAAUUAUUUCUCAAAAGCCAUAAUAUAUUCAUGGCUCAGUGAAUCCUAAAGACAGUAUUUCUAAACCCCUGUUAAGUUUUUCUUCGUGUGCUAGUCUGCUGCAAAAUUUCCUUUGCUGUGGGUCACGUGGUUCCUCCCGUCCAAAAUACAAGCACUUAGAAUUUUUACUUCCUGAUUGAGCCAUCGGAUUAUGUAAAAUGUAAAUCAGUCUAAAUACCUAACAACAGGAAUUUUAAGGGAGAAAUGCUGCUUUCUUUUUCUGUUUUACUCUCAAUGCCUAAAAAACUAGAGUGUGUGCUUCCCUGUGUGUAUUUGGAAACAUGAGACUGUCAGGGAUUUUUUUCUGUCCCGUCCCUUUCAGAUCAAGUCCGAGUUUGCUUUCAUUAUAAAAAUAACGUACCGACGAGAUAGACUGUGGGAGUCAGUACAGUUACAGGACUGAAAUCAUCAAAGCGGUUCCGAUUACAGAGAGAGCUAUGUACUUGUCAGUCUUUUCAUGAUCUGAACGAGGAGUACAGCAUCUCUCAAAGGUAACGACUUGAUAUUUUGGAAUUGUAAAUGGUCAUUUAGCGCUUCUGCUGCCUCAUACAAGUUACAGUAAUUUCUAGCAGGCUGGAUGACACUUGUUUUGUCAUGGAUCUUAAAAUCCCUUGCGUUUUCCCACAACAGUUUUGAAGUUGUCAUAGUAACAGCAUGAUGUUUGGAGGGUCUUUUUAGUAGUUCUUUAGCUUGAGUGAGUUAAUUUUAUUAACUGUGGAUGUUUUUCUUUUCACUCCUCUCUGGCAAACAGGGGCUAGCAUUGCUCAAAUAUGUAUUUCAUGUUCUUUAUUUCUUGAUGACUAGAGUUAAAGGACUUGGUGUUUUCUAAGUUGUUUCAAGGAGGGAGCAAGAAUGUUAUCGAUUGAUUCCAGAUAGGUUAAACUUGGAUUUUUAGAUACUUCUCUGUAAAAGGCACUACCAGUAGGGAUUUAGUUUUGUUUAAAGAGGUGAGUUAUGGGAGAUGUUCCCCAAAAUGUGGUGGUGACUAACCUCCAGGUGUUAACAGCCAUCCUUUGCUUUGAUUCUGCUCUACAUGGAAUAAGAGUUGAGGAACACAGAAGGAAAUCCGUCAGACUUACAGGAGAAGAUUACUCCUUUAAAAAUGCAGCACUCAAAUACAACACCACAAGCAUGUUCCACAAGAUGAGGGAGGAGGGUAAAUCUGACUAUCAGAAUUUAAAACUUCAGUACUCUUGGAAACUAAAAAAUGCUGAAAUAAAUUAUCCUCUAAGAAAGUUUGUGGGCAUUUUUUAUUGGGAGAAAGUAGGUCAGGAUCUCCUGUAAGUAAACCUCUGUGGCAGAAAUGCUUGCCAACAUGGCGAUCGGGGAGAGGGACAGCCCUUCUUUCGGGCAGGAAGAGGGUCAGAGGAAAAAACGGUCUGUACUAGGUCUGGACGCUGGGGCUUUAAAAAGUGUCCCAUGUUUGAUGCUUGUGUUUUCUUGUAAAAGUGAUCAGAGAGAAGUGACACGUGUGAAAGGUGUCCUGUGAGUUCCGCAGGUGCCGUGCUGAUGCCAGUGUCCUUUCUACAGCGGGGUGGUAGCAGCCUGUGCAGCCAGCAGCAGCGGAGGUGCUAAUGCACGGCCAGUGAUGUCAGGAGUUACGAGACAGUGGUUUCAAAACACUGCAGUAAACAAGGUCAAAGUGUCCCGUUUUGCUGGAAGACGUUUUGUUUUUAUGGGCUGGGCAGUACACGGAUGAAGUGCUUUCAAAACAAACAUUCAGCUUGUUUGUUUGUUUGUGUUUUUACAUUUUGAUUUUAAAAAUUAACCAGAUGAGAUUUAGUAAGGGUUGCAUUUUUAAGCAGAGUUAUACUGUUUUUCCUGUUUUUAUUUUACUUUCUCAAAAAAAAAAACCCUUCAGUUUUUACAGAGGAAUGAAAAUACCUCUGAUCUUAAAUGCAGUUUCAGGGGGCAAGCUAGGACCCAGUACACAGCAGAUGCCAAUCACAGUCAGCAGUGAGACAUCCUUCUAAUUUUGUACCUUUUGCUCUUAUUUAAAUAAGCAUUUAAAUACGAGAAAGUUAAUGACGCAGAAUAGUGCUGACUGCGUGGUUCUCGUCUUAAUGCAUUUUCCAACCUUGAACCUGAGAAUACCAGAGGCUCGAGUCUCUGGACACUCGUUGGAGCAGUUAUCUGCUGGUGGCCUGGUUCCUGAGGUGACGAGCGGGUGUCCCGGGCGCAUGUGGUGACAACAGGAGUGGUGCCAGCAUGGCGCCCAGAGGUCGCCUCAGUCUGUGCCGGGGAUCCCUGGUCCUCGGGGCUUCGAGAGGAACUGUGAACUCCAGGCAUCCGAGGACGUGCAGGCAUUUGGGAGUUCCACGCAAACCUGGAUGUAAGCGCAGGCACCGCUUUUAAAGUGAAAGCAGGGCCCUGAGGAAGGAAUUACCCUCGCCUUGUUCCCGACCUGCUUACUGUGUUGGAAAACAAAGUAAGUUUUGUUUGUUUCUUUCUUAGUCACUGCUCUACAUGUUUUUUCUUGCUAACAUUAUUAGACACCCAGUACCUGACAAAUGCCAAGUGUUUUUCCCCUUCGUUAGGAAGGAGGAUAUGAAGUUUGUUAAAUAGCUAAUUGCUUCUUUGAUCUUUUCUGUCUUCCUGUAUCUAGCAUGCUGGCUUGCUUGUUAAGAGAUAGCAAGAGACUGAAAUGUAUUAUCAGUGAGAAAACAAAAGUUUUUUUUUUUAAUGGUUCAAGAACUUUGACAUUAAUUGAAUGACAAUGACACAGACAAGGCUGUUUCUGUGCCAGGAGCACAUC
Long non-coding RNA from Phyllostomus discolor (pale spear-nosed bat), 4436 nucleotides. RefSeq lists it as uncharacterized. The transcript is spliced from 2 exons. NCBI's taxonomy places the organism in Eukaryota, Metazoa, Chordata, Mammalia, Chiroptera, Phyllostomidae. The record is from RefSeq and is a predicted model, not a curated record.